GAUGAAGAACGUAGCGAAAUGCGAUAAGUAAUGUGAAUUGCAGAAUCCAGUGAAUCAUCGAAUCUUUGAACGCACAUUGCGCCCGCCAGCAUUCUGGGGGGCAUGCCUGUUCGAGCGUCAUUUCAACCCUCGACCUCCCUUUGGGGAAGUCGGCGUUGGGGACCGGCAGCACACCGCCGGCCCUGAAAUGGAGUGGCGGCCCGUCCGCGGCGACCUCUGCGUAGUAAACCAACUCGCACCGGAACCCCGACGUGGCCACGCCGUAAAACACCCAACUUCUGAACGUUGACCUCGAAUCAGGUAGGACUACCCGCUGAACUUAAGCAUAUCAAUAAGCGGAGGA
This 343-nucleotide unclassified non-coding RNA is filed under the name soil metagenome. RNAcentral describes it as "partial contains 5.8S ribosomal RNA, internal transcribed spacer 2, and large subunit ribosomal RNA". The stretch from base 1 to 120 matches the Rfam family "5.8S ribosomal RNA", at positions 35 to 154 of the family's 154-position model. The record is from RNAcentral.